RNAcentral lists this transfer RNA (68 nucleotides) under Marmota monax (woodchuck). Its description in RNAcentral is "tRNA.Ala". Lineage: Eukaryota; Metazoa; Chordata; Mammalia; Rodentia; Sciuridae. The record is from RNAcentral.
GGAUUGUGGCUCAGGGGUAGGGCACUCGCCUAGCAUGUGUGAGGCCCUGGGUUUGAUCCUCAGCACCA